This 66-nucleotide transfer RNA is filed under the name Oomorphoides metallicus. RNAcentral's name for it is "tRNA-Ser". Lineage: Eukaryota; Metazoa; Arthropoda; Insecta; Coleoptera; Chrysomelidae. The record is from RNAcentral.
AGUUAAUGAACUUGUAUACAGUGUAUGUUUUGAAGCCAUAAAAAAGAAUAAAUAUUCUAUUAACUU